This 90-nucleotide unclassified non-coding RNA is filed under the name Pseudomonas sp. NFACC13-1. Lineage: Bacteria; Pseudomonadati; Pseudomonadota; Gammaproteobacteria; Pseudomonadales; Pseudomonadaceae. The record is from RNAcentral.
UGUGGGAGCGAGCUUGCUCGCGAUAGCGGUGUAUCAGCCGAUGCCUGUGUCGAAUCUGAUGACGCCAUCGCGAGCAAGCUCGCUCCCACA